RNAcentral lists this ribosomal RNA (331 nucleotides) under uncultured eukaryote. RNAcentral's name for it is "partial 18S ribosomal RNA". It matches the Rfam family "Eukaryotic small subunit ribosomal RNA", at positions 1470 to 1796 of the family's 1831-position model. The record is from RNAcentral.
CUCUUAGAUGUUCUGGGCCGCACGCGCGCUACACUGACGAAGUCAGCGAGCAUGUCCUACGCCGACAGGUGCGGGGAAUCUUGUCAAACUUCGUCGUGAUGGGGAUUGAUUAUUGAAAUUCUUGAUCAUCAACGAGGAAUUCCUAGUAAGCGCAAGUCAGCAGCUUGCGUUGAUUACGUCCCUGCCCUUUGUACACACCGCCCGUCGCUACUACCGAUUGAAUGGUUUAGUGAGAUCUUCGGAUUGGCGCCACUGCGGCUCAGCAAUGGGCUCGGUGGAUGCCGAAAAGUUGAUCAAACUUGAUCAUUUAGAGGAAGUAAAAGUCGUAACA